Molecule: long non-coding RNA, 730 nt
Organism: Brassica oleracea var. oleracea
Lineage: Eukaryota; Viridiplantae; Streptophyta; Magnoliopsida; Brassicales; Brassicaceae
Exons: 3
Source: RefSeq, a predicted model, not a curated record
AUCAUCAGAUGUUUCGAGGGUGUAAAAGAAAACAAAAGAGGAUUGGGGUUCUAAAAAGUUCUGCAAUCGACAGAACAAAAAUCUUCACUUGGUCAUCAACCGAGUAAUCCAGUCUUCAAUUGACAGGAUAACAAAAUUGUUGGAGGUCUUAUCAUGUCCGUAAGAGCUUGAAAAGGAAGGGAAUACACCAAACUAAAAACAGAGGUGGAAAAACAGAAGAAACCGAAGGAUUGAAAUGCAAAAACAAAGGUUAUAUUAUCAAUAGGAGAUGUCGUGUCCAAUCUCAUGUUCAUGUACGGCGAAUGAGAUUAUAAAAUAACAUAGGUUUCGAAUCUAAUGUGUGUCAGCACACCAAAGUUAACAUAUAACUAUGUUAUAUACAUAUUUAUAAGGAUCCCGCAAUUAUAUGUUUUAAGUCAGUCGGGUGGGAAUAAGAUAUGAUAAUCAUGAAUCUGGACCGCGGGUCUGGCCCGUAAAGGACUGUUGCGGAACGGUAUUGGGACGAGGUUUUCUAGGCUCCUAAAUGUACGGGCUUCGCGGGACGGGUUUUUGCGGGACUGGGCCUUUUGCGGGAUGGACCGAAACGGGUCAUGCGGGAUUAAUGAACCCGCAUUUUUUUCUUCAUUUCUUGUUUUACCUGAAAAACGAGAAAGAUAGUGAGAAGAAAACGAUUCUUGUGACUUUUCCCCCAGAAAACAUAAGGAGUUCCGGCGAUGAUGAUUCGAGCUCC